AUGUUCUACUCCAAAACGAUGCUGUCCAAGAAGGGCCCACUGGGCGCGGUGUGGGUGGCGGGCGUCCGCGGCGUCGCCGCGCUCACCAGGGACCAGGUCCUGGGCACCGACGUCGCCUCCUCCGUCGACAAGAUUUUGCCCGACGUUGAAACCACAUACAGAAUACUUGGGUUGCUUCUGCUUGGCGUUGUUAGGAUUUACUCCAAGAAGGUGGAAUACCUCUGCUAUGACAGCAAUCAGUUUUUUGAAUCAACUGUAAGAGGGAAGAAAGUUCUACAGCGAGGGAAGAAAGGUGCUUGUGCAAGAAGAUUGGUGCUAGACCAAGAAGACACUAGAAGAUCGAAAAGAGUUGCCGUCGUUCAAGUCCCAGAAUUGGACGAACCAGCUGAUCUUCCACCAAUCUUCACCGUACCCAAAAGAUUUGAGCUCGACUCUUUUGAUUUGCAGAUACCUGAAGACAGAGAGGAUGACAAUGAUGAUCAUCACCAAUUGCCUCGUCAAGAUACUUUGUUGGAAGAUGAACAUCAGCGUAUGCCAAAUUUAUACGAGGGGAUGCCAUAUGCUGAUCUGGACUCUGCUUACGUUGUGCCAGUAUGCAUCAUUCCAACUGAAAUGAUCGGUGUCACUGAUGAAGUCACUGAUCUUCUGUACUUGGGUAACAUAGGGGAUGAACUUGAAAAUGAAAGUCAGAAUCCUGAUCCUGCUUGCUUUACACCAGUGAAGGAUGUUCUUCCACCUGAGGCGAUGGAUAUGAUGGCUGAAGCAAGCGAGCUUCCAGAGAAAAGCAAAGAGGUGAAGAAAGCUAGAAGAGAAGUGAAUGGUGAAGAGAAUGGUGAUCCUGCUUGUUCUACCCCUUUGCCGGAGAAUCAAGAAAUGCAAAGACCUGUGAAUGCUGUGGAGAAUGUGGUGUGUGCAGAUCUAGAUGAAAAUCAUCCUGUAGUCGAAGAAUCAGAAAAUGGGUUAGCGGUAGGAAAACUGAACACAACACUAUCUAUAGAAAUUCCUGACAUCGAGGAACAAGAGUCUCUGGAACCUUCCACUCCAGAGCCCUUGCGAGAGGGAGCCUCAGAAAAAUUUGUGGUUGCAACACCUGCUCAAAAUGAGAAGCGCCAGGUUACCAGAAAAAGGAGGAGGGGGUUAUACAAUAAGAGAAAAGUUUGGGUGUUGUGGGAUGAGAAUGCUAUCCUUGAUAAUGAAACGAUGAGAGAAAUGGUAGACGGGGUUGGUGUAGAGGAUCUAGUCGUCAAAAGAAGGAAGGCGCCUCACACUCGCCAUCAGAUUUGGAGGGAGCCAAGAUUUCGUUCUCUGCAGGAUACUUUCAUGGAGCCAAUUCUUCCAUGUGAUAACAUUGAGCCAAUUAUGCAAUAUUCGACUACAGUGCGCCUUAAUUCUACUACAGCCGAUGCCUCAUGCGGGGAAUCCGUUAAAGCAAAGAAGUGUCUUUCAUAUGAACCUGCUGAAUCCAGCAAUCCCCACAAGGAAGCUGCAAAUGAAGAAACAGAAUGUGUCCCAAAUGAACUGACAAAUGGCAUCCAGACUCCUGUUGGGUGCUACAAUCAAAGUCAGCAAAGUCAAGAUGUUUGUGAAUGCAAUGCUGAUACACCCUAUGAAAAGAACAACACACUAGUCAAUGGAGAUGAAUCAGUGCUGCCAGAAGAGAGAUUGUAUGAAUCAACCAGUCACAGUGCAUUGCGCAAUGAAUCAUUGACUGCUGAUAUAGAUGCGGAUAUUCCUAUGGAUGAAGAGCAUGCUGCCAGAGAUGAAGAUUUCCCGCUUUCAACAAGAACUAGGGCAGUAGCAAAGUGCCUCCAUCAGCUAUUCUUGGACCAGAAGUGCCAGGAGCAAAGUAAUGUCCCCGUGACGCUCGGCCAAGCCCUCGAAGGCAGCAAGAGGAAAACCACAGCAAGAUUCUUCUAUGAAACUCUGAUCCUCAAGAGCCGCGGGUUGAUAGACGUGAAUCAGGAGAAGCCCUAUGAGAACAUCACAAUCUCUGCAACUCCACAGCUCGACGCGGUGCUGCAGAAUCCAGUGCCCGCUUCAACUUCUUAG
RNAcentral lists this ribosomal RNA (2049 nucleotides) under Triticum aestivum (bread wheat). Its description in RNAcentral is "partial small subunit ribosomal RNA". The record is from RNAcentral. Lineage: Eukaryota; Viridiplantae; Streptophyta; Magnoliopsida; Poales; Poaceae.